RNAcentral lists this ribosomal RNA (84 nucleotides) under Clostridium sporogenes. RNAcentral's name for it is "partial 16S ribosomal RNA". The stretch from base 1 to 75 matches the Rfam family "Bacterial small subunit ribosomal RNA", at positions 1459 to 1533 of the family's 1533-position model. Lineage: Bacteria; Bacillati; Bacillota; Clostridia; Eubacteriales; Clostridiaceae. The record is from RNAcentral.
AAGGUGGGAUUAGUGAUUGGGGUGAAGUCGUAACAAGGUAGCCGUAGGAGAACCUGCGGCUGGAUCACCUCCUUUCUAAGGAGA